GUAUAAUUUUAAUGUUUGAAACCUAAAGAAUUUGGCGGCAUUUUAUCUUUUUAGAGGAACCUGUUCUUUAAUUGAUGUUACACGAUUGGUUCAAUUUUAUAUAUUUGUUUGUAUAUUUCCGUUAUAAGGGAAUUUAUUGAUAAUAUUUUCAUAUUUUUUAAUUAUAAUUUAUUUCAGGUCAAGGUGCAGCUUAUUAUAGAAUUUGUAAUGGGUUACAAUAAUUUAAAUUAUAUGGAUUCUUAUUUUUGAUUUUAAGUUGAAGGUGGAUUUAUAAGUAAAUUUUAAUAAUUAUUAAAUUUGAAUUAGUUCUAAUUUGUGU
RNAcentral lists this ribosomal RNA (319 nucleotides) under Teredorus prominemarginis. Its description in RNAcentral is "partial 12S ribosomal RNA". Lineage: Eukaryota; Metazoa; Arthropoda; Insecta; Orthoptera; Tetrigidae. The record is from RNAcentral.